GACGAACGCUGGCGGCGUGCUUAACACAUGCAAGUCGAACGGAAAGGCCUGCUUUCCCUUGUGGAUUGCGGGUACUCGAGUGGCGAACGGGUGAGUAACACGUGAGUGAUCUGCCCCCAACUUGGGUAUAAGCCUGGGAAACUGGGUCUAAUUCCCGAUAGGACUGCAGGGUGGUGCCUGUGGUGGAAAACGAUCUUCUAGUGGUUGGGGGUGAGCUCGCGGCCUAUCAGCUUGUUGGUGGGGUAAUGGCCUACCAAGGCGGCGACGGGUAGCCGGCCUGAGAGGGUGGACGGCCACAUUGGGACUGAGAUACGGCCCAGACUCCUACGGGAGGCAGCAGUGGGGAAUAUUGCACAAUGGGCGGAAGCCCGAUGCAGCGACGCCGCGUGGGGGAUGACGGCCUUCGGGUUGUAAACUCCUUUCGACCGCGAGGAAGCCACCUGGUUGGAAGGGUGGUGACGGUAGUGGUAGAAGAAGCACCGGCUAACUACGUG
RNAcentral lists this ribosomal RNA (494 nucleotides) under uncultured bacterium. Its description in RNAcentral is "partial 16S ribosomal RNA". It matches the Rfam family "Bacterial small subunit ribosomal RNA", at positions 28 to 507 of the family's 1533-position model. The record is from RNAcentral.